RNAcentral lists this ribosomal RNA (440 nucleotides) under uncultured bacterium. Its description in RNAcentral is "bacterial SSU rRNA". It matches the Rfam family "Bacterial small subunit ribosomal RNA", at positions 338 to 795 of the family's 1533-position model. The record is from RNAcentral.
CCUACGGGUUGCACCAGUGGGGAAUAUUGGACAAUGGGCGAAAGCCUGAUCCAGCAAUGCCGCGUGAGUGAUGAAGGCCUUAGGGUUGUAAAGCCCUUUUACCCGGGAUGAUAAUGACAGUACCGGGAGAAUAAGCUCCGGCUAACUCCGUGCCAGCAGCCGCGGUAAUACGGAGGGAGCUAGCGUUGUUCGGAAUUACUGGGCGUAAAGCGCACGUAGGCGGCUUUGUAAGUUAGAGGUGAAAGCCUGGAGCUCAACUCCAGAAUUGCCUUUAAGACUGCAUCGCUCGAAUCCGGGAGAGGUGAGUGGAAUUCCGAGUGUAGAGGUGAAAUUCGUAGAUAUUCGGAAGAACACCAGUGGCGAAGGCGGCUCACUGGACCGGUAUUGACGCUGAGGUGCGAAAGCGUGGGGAGCAAACAGGAUUAAAUACCCGUGUAGUC